Molecule: ribosomal RNA, 496 nt
Filed under: uncultured bacterium
Lineage: Bacteria
Description: partial 16S ribosomal RNA
Rfam family: Bacterial small subunit ribosomal RNA
Source: RNAcentral
AUGAACGCUGGCGGCGUGCCUAAUACAUGCAAGUCGAGCGAACAGACGAGGAGCUUGCUCCUCUGACGUUAGCGGCGGACGGGUGAGUAACACGUGGAUAACCUACCUAUAAGACUGGGAUAACUUCGGGAAACCGGAGCUAAUACCGGAUAAUAUAUUGAACCGCAUGGUUCAAUAGUGAAAGACGGUUUUGCUGUCACUUAUAGAUGGAUCCGCGCCGCAUUAGCUAGUUGGUAAGGUAACGGCUUACCAAGGCAACGAUGCGUAGCCGACCUGAGAGGGUGAUCGGCCACACUGGAACUGAGACACGGUCCAGACUCCUACGGGAGGCAGCAGUAGGAAAUCUUCCGCAAUGGGCGAAAGCUUGACGGAGCAACGCCGCGUGAGUGAUGAAGGUCUUCGGAUCGUAAAACUCUGUUAUUAGGGAAGAACAAAUGUGUAAGUAACUAUGCACGUCUUGACGGUACCUAAUCAGAAAGCCACGGCUAACUACGUG